AGCAGCCGCGGUAAUUCCAGCUCCAAUAGCGUAUAUUAAAGUUGUUGCAGUUAAAAAGCUCGUAGUUGAAUUUCGGGAUCAAUACGUCGGUCGUGCCUCGGUACGUACUGGCGUCAUUGAUUUCUCCCUUCUGAAGAACCGUGAUGCCAUUAACUUGGUGUCAUGGGAAAUCAGGACUGUUACUUUGAAAAAAUUAGAGUGUUUAAAGCAGGCUCACGCUUGAAUACAUUAGCAUAGAAUAAUGAAAUAGGACGUUCGACCCUAUUUUGUUGGUUUUCUAGGAUCAACGUAAUGAUUAAUAGGGAUAGCUGGGGGCAUUAGUAUUCAAUUGUCAGAGGUGAAAUUCUUGGAUUUAUUGAAGACUAACUACUGCGAAAGCAUUUGCCAAGGAUGUUUUCAUUAAUCAAGAACGAAAGUUAGGGGAUCGAAGACGAUCAGAUACCGUCGUAG
Molecule: ribosomal RNA, 450 nt
Filed under: uncultured Glomeromycotina
Lineage: Eukaryota; Fungi; Glomeromycota
Description: SSU rRNA
Rfam family: Eukaryotic small subunit ribosomal RNA
Source: RNAcentral